Molecule: long non-coding RNA, 296 nt
Filed under: Gossypium barbadense (sea-island cotton)
Lineage: Eukaryota; Viridiplantae; Streptophyta; Magnoliopsida; Malvales; Malvaceae
Description: long non-coding RNA (GBAR_LNC007307)
Source: RNAcentral
CUGCCUCCAACGAUCUCUAAUCCCGAGCUAACCUAACAACACUAAAGAAAAGGAAAGGAAUGGAGUAAUCUUUAUAGCUUAGUAAGACCGUAUGAAAAUAAUAAGCAAUUUAUCAACUUGCUUCUCAAGGUAAUACAACCAUAUUUGCACUUUUACUUAUGAUCAGGUCAAGCUGUUUUCUCGAGUUAGUCAUUAAAUUAUUUAUAUCUUGAGCUACGGAACUCAAAAUUAAGUUCCACUAAUUUUACUUGAAACUAGACUCACAUAUCUCCUCACCAUAAAAAUUUCAGAAUUUU